UAGCAAGAAGUGAAGAAUCACAUUUGGUUUCGGCCCAAAUUAUGCCAAUGACUUGGCCUUGUUAU
RNAcentral lists this transfer RNA (65 nucleotides) under Talonostrea talonata. RNAcentral's name for it is "Crassostrea talonata tRNA-Arg". The record is from RNAcentral. Lineage: Eukaryota; Metazoa; Mollusca; Bivalvia; Ostreida; Ostreidae.